CCCUUAGAUGUUCUGGGCCGCACGCGCGCUACACUGAUGAAUUCAACGAGCACUAACCUGUGCAGAAAUGUUCGGGUAAUCUUGUGAAAUUUCAUCGUGAUGGGGAUUGGUUAUUGCAAUUAUUAAUCAUAAACGAGGAAUGCCUAGUAAGCGUGAGUCAUCAGCUCACGUUGAUUACGUCCCUGCCCUUUGUACACACCGCCCGUCGCUCCUACCGAUUGAAUGUGCUGGUGAAAAGUUCGGAUUGGGAAUAGGAGACGGCAACGUAUCCUGUUUCUGAGAAAAUCUUUAAACCCUCCCAUUUAGAGGAAGGAGAAGUCGUAACA
This 326-nucleotide ribosomal RNA is filed under the name uncultured eukaryote. Its description in RNAcentral is "partial 18S ribosomal RNA". It matches the Rfam family "Eukaryotic small subunit ribosomal RNA", at positions 1470 to 1796 of the family's 1831-position model. The record is from RNAcentral.